This 285-nucleotide unclassified non-coding RNA is filed under the name plant metagenome. Its description in RNAcentral is "partial contains small subunit ribosomal RNA, internal transcribed spacer 1, and 5.8S ribosomal RNA". The record is from RNAcentral.
UUUCCGUAGGUGAACCUGCGGAAGGAUCAUUAACACGUUAUCCACGUCAACCUUCGUGCACUCAUUUUGUUUUUGGGGCGGUCGUUUUCGGAUGGCCGUCCCGCCAUUGGUUCCUUGCCCUUCCUUUUUACGAAGGAAAGACGGUCCAGUGGCAUAACUUUAACAUUUUUAACAUCAUUGUACUAAUUCAAAAAUUGUGAUUGUCUCUGUUCGAAAGAACAUGGCGGUCCUUUUUUUCUCUACAAAACAAUCGAACAACUUUCAACAACGGAUCUCUUGGUUCUG